RNAcentral lists this transfer RNA (75 nucleotides) under Kofleriaceae bacterium. RNAcentral's name for it is "tRNA-Pro". It matches the Rfam family "tRNA". From Rfam's summary of the family: Transfer RNA (tRNA) molecules are approximately 80 nucleotides in length. The record is from RNAcentral. Lineage: Bacteria; Pseudomonadati; Myxococcota; Haliangiales; Kofleriaceae.
CAUGGGGUGGCCUAACAGAAAGGCGCGCGGCCCGGGCCCGCGAGAUUGCAGGUGCAAGUCCUGUCCCCGUGACCA